UACACAAAACACAUAUCUGGACACCCCCUUUUUUUUUUUAAGGACGUUUUGUUACUCUGAGUGUCAUGAAAUCCAUUUAAUGACGUUGGGCCCAAAACAGCUGAAGCUUAAAGAGGAAAAAUGAGAUUGUCUAGUUUCUACCCUUCAGAACAACAGCUCUCUCUCUCUCUCUCUCUCUCUCUCUCUCAGAACACGCAUCGAGCAUGACAUCCACCCCACGAAUGAUACUCCGGCGACGCCAAGCUCCUGCUUAAGAGGGCUAACGUCUGCUACAACGAAGCCAGCGGCUGGAGGUAUGUUCCACGCGUUGUCGUCAUGGAUCUGGAGCUUGGGACCAUGGACAGCUUCAGAUCUAGUUUCUACGGUCAGAUCUUCCCUCCUGAUAACUUCGUCUUUGGUUAGUCUGGUGCUAGAAACAAUUUUACAAAAGGUCACUACACCGACAGGGCUGACUUGAUAGAUUCGGUUCUCAAUGUGGUGCGCAAAGAGUCGGAGAACUGUGAGUGCUUGCAAGCCCAAAGUAUAUUUUCCUCUUCUGAACUCAGCAAAACCUAUAUCGGAUAUCAAAUUGGCAAAAUAUGGUGAGUGGUUUAAUGAUUGCAGUGAUGAGAUCAGAGAAUGUUGUACCAAUGCCCUACACAGGCUUCACAAGCAAUAUGGUUGGAAGAUUGUAGAGGUGACCAUACCAGAGAUAGAGGUGAUGGGGUUGGCACAUUACUUGACAAUUGGAUCAGAGUGUAGCACUUCGCUUAGUUCUCAUCUAGAAAAGUUGGAUUUCAAAGAAUUAGGGUGGGAUGUAAGACUGUUCAUGAAGGGCGCAUAUAUCAACUAAAACUGUUCUAUGACAAAGAUUAUCCAGAGAAGCCACCAAGUGUACGAUUUCAUACACGCAUCAAGAUGACUUGUGUCAAUCAUGAAACUGGAGUGGUUGAGGACUAUCAAAAGAAAGAUCAAAAGGCCAAUAAAGUACAUUAACUACCGGGAUUAUACACGCCUCAGCUCUAUUUGAACAGUGCAAAUUACUUAGUAGCAACAGAGAAAACCUCUCCGCCAAAGCUAAGUAAAGUUUAAGGUACAUUAAGGAAGGAUCAGCAAAUAGCAUUGAAAAGACUUUCAAAACCUUCAAACCA
Rosa chinensis is the source of this 1130-nucleotide RNA transcript. It is a transcript of the gene named ubiquitin-conjugating enzyme E2 variant 1B, with no coding region annotated. The record is from RefSeq and is a predicted model, not a curated record. Lineage: Eukaryota; Viridiplantae; Streptophyta; Magnoliopsida; Rosales; Rosaceae. The transcript has 9 exons.